RNAcentral lists this transfer RNA (77 nucleotides) under uncultured Rubrobacteraceae bacterium. Its description in RNAcentral is "tRNA-Asp-GTC". It matches the Rfam family "tRNA". Rfam says of the family: Transfer RNA (tRNA) molecules are approximately 80 nucleotides in length. Their secondary structure includes four short double-helical elements and three loops (D, anti-codon, and T loops). The record is from RNAcentral. Lineage: Bacteria; Bacillati; Actinomycetota; Rubrobacteria; Rubrobacterales; Rubrobacteraceae.
GGGGGCGUAGUUCAGUUGGUUAGAACGCCGGCCUGUCACGCCGGAGGCCGCGGGUUCGAGUCCCGUCGCUCCCGCCU